This 378-nucleotide ribosomal RNA is filed under the name uncultured bacterium. Its description in RNAcentral is "bacterial SSU rRNA". It matches the Rfam family "Bacterial small subunit ribosomal RNA", at positions 30 to 404 of the family's 1533-position model. The record is from RNAcentral.
AUUGAACGCUGGCGGCAUGCCUUACACAUGCAAGUCGAACGGCAGCACGGGGGCGAACCCUGGUGGCGAGUGGCGAACGGGUGAGUAACAUAUCGGAACGUGCCCUGGAGUGGGGGAGUAACUAGUCGAAAGACUAGCUAAUACCGCAUACGAUCUACGGAUGAAAGUGGGGGAGUCGCAAGACCUCAUGCUCGUGGAGCGGCCGAUAUCUGAUUAGCAGUUGGUGGGGUAAAGGCCUACCAAGGCAUCGAUCAGUAGCUGGUCUGAGAGGACGACCAGCCACACUGGGACUGAGACACGGCCCAGACUCCUACGGGAGGCAGCAGUGGGGAAUUUUUGGACCAAUGGGCGCAAGCCUGAUCCAGCAAUGCCGCGUGA